This 611-nucleotide ribosomal RNA is filed under the name Leuconostoc lactis. RNAcentral's name for it is "bacterial SSU rRNA". It matches the Rfam family "Bacterial small subunit ribosomal RNA", at positions 80 to 677 of the family's 1533-position model. Lineage: Bacteria; Bacillati; Bacillota; Bacilli; Lactobacillales; Lactobacillaceae. The record is from RNAcentral.
UUGCACCUUUCAAGCGAGUGGCGAACGGGUGAGUAACACGUGGAUAACCUGCCUCAAGGCUGGGGAUAACAUUUGGAAACAGAUGCUAAUACCGAAUAAAACUUAGUAUCGCAUGAUACAAAGUUGAAAGGCGCUACGGCGUCACCUAGAGAUGGGUCCGCGGUGCAUUAGUUAGUUGGUGGGGUAAAGGCCUACCAAGACAAUGAUGCAUAGCCGAGUUGAGAGACUGAUCGGCCACAUUGGGACUGAGACACGGCCCAAACUCCUACGGGAGGCUGCAGUAGGGAAUCUUCCACAAUGGGCGAAAGCCUGAUGGAGCAACGCCGCGUGUGUGAUGAAGGCUUUAGGGUCGUAAAGCACUGUUGUAUGGGAAGAAAUGCUAGAAUAGGGAAUGAUUCUAGUUCGACGGUACCAUACCAGAAAGGGACGGCUAAAUACGUGCCAGCAGCCGCGGUAAUACGUAUGUCCCGAGCGUUAUCCGGAUUUAUUGGGCGUAAAGCGAGCGCAGACGGUUGAUUAAGUCUGAUGUGAAAGCCCGGAGCUCAACUCCGGAAUGGCAUUGGAAACUGGUUAACUUGAGUGUUGUAGAGGUAAGUGGAACUCCAUGGGUA